This 784-nucleotide ribosomal RNA is filed under the name uncultured organism. RNAcentral describes it as "bacterial SSU rRNA". It matches the Rfam family "Bacterial small subunit ribosomal RNA", at positions 690 to 1470 of the family's 1533-position model. The record is from RNAcentral.
GUAGAUAUCUGGAAGGACACCAGUUGCGAAGGCGGUCUCCUGGACCAAUACUGACGCUGAUGCUCGAAAGCUGGGGGAGCGAACAGGAUUAGAUACCCUGGUAGUCCCAGCCGUAAACGAUGGACACUAGUUGCCGGAGGAGUCAAUCCCUUCGGUGACGAAGCUAACGCAUUAAGUGUCCCGCCUGGGGAGUACGCUCGCAAGGGUGAAACUCAAAGGAAUUGACGGGGGCCCGCACAAGCGGUGGAGCAUGUGCUUUAAUUCGAUGCAACGCGAAGAACCUUACCUGGGUUUGACAUGGGGGUGAAAGUUUCCAGAGAUGGAAGCCUUUCCUUCGGGAACACCCCACACAGGUGCUGCAUGGUUGUCGUCAGCUCGUGUCGUGAGAUGUUGGGUUAAGUCCCGCAACGAGCGCAACCCCUGCCCUUAGUUGCCAUCAGGUAAAGCUGGGAACUCUAAGGGGACAGCUUGGUAUAACCAGGAGGAAGGUGGGGAUGACGUCAAAUCAUCAUGGCUCUUACGCCCAGGGCUAGACACGUGCUACAAUGGCAGGUACAGUGGGAUGCCAGCCUGCGAAGGUGAGCUAAUCCCUUAAAACCUGUCUCAGUCCGGAUUGGAGUCUGCAACUCGACUCCAUGAAGUUGGAAUCGCUAGUAAUCGCGGAUCAGCAUGCCGCGGUGAUACGUUCCCGGGCCUGUACACACCGCCCGUCAAGCCAUGAAAGGCGGUAGUACCCGAAGUCGCGUACCCAACCGUAAGGAGGGAAGCGCCGAAGGUAAGACUG